GACUGAGCGGCGGACGGGUGAGUAACGCGUGGGUAACCUGCCUCAUACAGGGGGAUAACAGUUGGAAACGGCUGAUAAAACCGCAUAAGCGCACAGCAUCGCAUGAUGCAGUGUGAAAAACUCCGGUGGUAUGAGAUGGACCCGCGUCUGAUUAGCUGGUUGGUGAGGUAACGGCCCACCAAGGCGACGAUCAGUAGCCGGCCUGAGAGGGUGACCGGCCACAUUGGGACUGAGACACGGCCCAAACUCCUACGGGAGGCAGCAGUGGGGAAUAUUGCACAAUGGGGGAAACCCUGAUGCAGCGACGCCGCGUGAAGGAAGAAGUAUCUCGGUAUGUAAACUUCUAUCAGCAGGGAAGAUAAUGACGGUACCUGACUAAGAAGCCCCGGCUAACUACGUGCCAGCAGCCGCGGUAAUACGUAGGGGGCAAGCGUUAUCCGGAUUUACUGGGUGUAAAGGGAGCGUAGGCGGCGGAGCAAGUCAGAAGUGAAAGCCCGGGGCUCAACCCCGGGACGGCUUUUGAAACUGCCCUGCUUGAUUUCAGGAGAGGUAAGCGGAAUUCCUAGUGUAGCGGUGAAAUGCGUAGAUAUUAG
RNAcentral lists this ribosomal RNA (593 nucleotides) under uncultured Lachnospiraceae bacterium. RNAcentral describes it as "bacterial SSU rRNA". It matches the Rfam family "Bacterial small subunit ribosomal RNA", at positions 89 to 700 of the family's 1533-position model. The record is from RNAcentral. Lineage: Bacteria; Bacillati; Bacillota; Clostridia; Lachnospirales; Lachnospiraceae.